GAUGAAGAACGCAGCGAAAUGCGAUACUUGGUGUGAAUUGCAGAAUCCCGUGAACCAUCGAGUCUUUGAACGCAAGUUGCGCCCGAAGCCACUAGGCCGAGGGCACGCCUGCCUGGGCGUCACACGUCGUUGCCCCCCCAUCUACUCCUUCGGGAUUGCGGGGGGGCGGAUGAUGGCCUCCCGUGCGCCUAGCCGCGCGGUUGGCAUAAAUACCAAGUCCUCGGCGACGCACGCCACGACAAUCGGUGGUUGCGAAACCUCGGUUGCCCGUCGUGUGCGUUCGUCGCGCAUCGGGGGCUCGAAAAAAUGCUCGGCUUCGGCUCGGCUUUCAACGCGACCCCAGGUCAGGCGGGGUUACCCGCUGAAUUUAAGCAUAUCAAUAAGCGGAGGA
RNAcentral lists this unclassified non-coding RNA (391 nucleotides) under soil metagenome. Its description in RNAcentral is "partial contains 5.8S ribosomal RNA, internal transcribed spacer 2, and large subunit ribosomal RNA". The stretch from base 1 to 122 matches the Rfam family "5.8S ribosomal RNA", at positions 35 to 154 of the family's 154-position model. The record is from RNAcentral.